Small nucleolar RNA from Cricetulus griseus (Chinese hamster), 123 nucleotides. Ensembl annotates it as small nucleolar RNA SNORA32. The record is from Ensembl. NCBI's taxonomy places the organism in Eukaryota, Metazoa, Chordata, Mammalia, Rodentia, Cricetidae.
UGGUCAUUACCAAGGCUUUGAGGAAUUCAGUUUCUCAUUUGCUGUGGACAUGACCAUAAAAAAAAUUUCCCAUUAGGUUUUCUAUGUGCUACUUGGCUAGCUAUUAACCUGUUGGGCACAUGU